UUGGAGGGCAAGUCUGGUGCCAGCAGCCGCGGUAAUUCCAGCUCCAAUAGCGUAUAUUAAAGUUGUUGCAGUUAAAAAGCUCGUAGUUGAAUUUCGGGAUUAGUACGCUGGUCGUGCCUUCGGUACGUACUGGUGUUACUGAUUCCUACCUUCUGACGAACCAUCAUGUCAUUAAUUUGGUGUGGCGGGGAAUCAGGACUGUUACUUUGAAAAAAUUAGAGUGUUUAAAGCAGGCUCGCGCUUGAAUACAUUAGCAUGGAAUAAUGAGAUAGGACGUUGAUCCUGUUUUGUUGGUUUCUAGGAUUGACGUAAUGAUUAAUAGGGAUAGUUGGGGGCAUUAGUAUUCAAUUGUCAGAGGUGAAAUUCUUGGAUUUAUUGAAGACUAACUACUGCGAAAGCAUUUGCCAAGGAUGUUUUCAUUAAUCAAGAACGAAAGUUAGGGGAUCGAAGACGAUCAGAUACCGUCGUAGUCUUAACCAUAAACUAUGCCGACUAGGGAUCGGAUGAUGUUAUUUUUAAUGACUCAUUCGGCGCCUUACGGGAAAC
RNAcentral lists this ribosomal RNA (546 nucleotides) under uncultured Glomeromycotina. RNAcentral describes it as "SSU rRNA". It matches the Rfam family "Eukaryotic small subunit ribosomal RNA", at positions 548 to 1098 of the family's 1831-position model. The record is from RNAcentral. Lineage: Eukaryota; Fungi; Glomeromycota.